UACAGAGGGUGCAAGCGUUAAUCGGAAUUACUGGGCGUAAAGGGCGCGUAGGCGGUUAUGUGGGUGUGAUGUGAAAGCCUUGGGCUUAACCUGAGAAGUGCAUCGCAAACUGUAUAACUAGAGUAUAUGAGAGGGUGGCGGAAUUUCCGGUGUAGCGGUGAAAUGCGUAGAGAUCGGAAGGAACGUCAAUGGCGAAGGCAGCCACCUGGCAUAAUACUGACGCUGAGGCGCGAAAGCGUGAGGAGCGAACAGG
Molecule: ribosomal RNA, 253 nt
Filed under: uncultured bacterium
Lineage: Bacteria
Description: partial 16S ribosomal RNA
Rfam family: Bacterial small subunit ribosomal RNA
Source: RNAcentral